RNAcentral lists this long non-coding RNA (4577 nucleotides) under Nicotiana benthamiana. RNAcentral describes it as "long non-coding RNA (NBEN_LNC018431)". Lineage: Eukaryota; Viridiplantae; Streptophyta; Magnoliopsida; Solanales; Solanaceae. The record is from RNAcentral.
UCCCCUUAGUUCCUCUCUCCUUCCUCUCUAUUCUCCCUCUCUCGCCUCUCUCCCAGGACAUCUCACCACCACCAUCUGCUGCCACCAGAAAUCGCCCACCGACUGUGGACCACCUUUAAUCUAUCCCAAAUUCACACUACGGCCUCCCUUCACUUCCCCCUUUCUAAAUCCACGAACCAAAUCUCUUCAAUCCCUAUCAAACUUCUCAAAUCGAUCCUAGACCAAAACACUAUCUUUCUUUUUCCUUUUAUAAUUCAUCAAGUUUUAGCCAUCGUCAUCCCAUACAACCUACAUGACCGUGUAUAUAUCCUUGAGAUCUACAUUUUACCUAUAGAUUGACCUAAAAAAUCCAUCGGAAUCCAGCCAAACUUAGGCCGCCACCGCCGCUUCCAAUACCGCACCACCACUGACCCCCUAUCGUUUAGACUACUUGACCUAAAAAUUCAUGUUUUCUUCAAGUAUGAUGCCAAAAGUUAUUUGCUUUGGUAUCUACUAAAAAGAAUUUGUGUUUUGGGGUCGGACAGCCGUCUCUUGGGGUUUGCUUCAUUAUUUGGUGGCUCGAGUUAGCAUCGGAUGCUCGUAUGGUAAAACCUUGCUCCCUCCUUUCACUUUCUGAUUUUUCCCCUUUUAUUUCCUUUGUUUUGUUAUGUUGUUUUAGCAUUAUGCUUAGAGUUUAAUUUUCAUUAUAUGUUAUGUUAUUCGUAUCUAUUUGAGCAGUGAUUCGUGGAGUUGCCAUUAUUCGCGUGAUGUUGUAUGUCGCUUCCGGUUAGCCCUUUAGUUGCUCACAUUGUUUAGUUUUGUUGUAUCAUGUAAUAUUGAGAUCAAUUUAUUUACUUCUUGACUAAUUAUUCAUUUAGUUUGGUUACAUUGAUCUAAUUCAUAUGUGAUAUUUCUAUGUUGCUCUUUUUGUUACAUUGAUUUGGAACCUUAAUCCUUUCUUUAGUUUUCUGAUAUUUGUUGCCUACUACUUUAUUGUAGUUAUCGUAGUAGUAUAAGUCCUGUUAGUGGUCGAUUUUAGUUCGUUUUCUAUCCAGUUUUCAGUUUCGUCAUUAGUUUAAAUCAAACUUUUUCACUAAGCUAUUUUCUAUGUUAACAUGUGUCUUGCUUGGUUUGAUUUUAAUCAUUAGGUUUUAAGUUCUCUUGAUUAAUUAAUAGUUCAGUAUUAAGUUUUAGUUACAUGUAUGUGGUAGUUUAACUAAGUUCUAGUUACUUGUUUCUCGUUUGGAUUGGUGCAAACUAGAUUUUGUUUGGUUAAAGCUGAAAGUUAGAAUGUGUUAAUCAUGAAAUACGCACAUGUUAUCUUGCUUUUACUGAUUAAGCAUGCUGAAAAAAACAACCACUUCACUUUGUGUCAUAUUUUGGGUGAAAAACUAGAUGAUUUUGAUACACAAAGUUAGUCCUUUCGGACAGAUUUUGGUGAACUAAAAUCUGUCCAAAAUGACUUGUUUUUCAUGUUUAAAGUGAUCAUUCUUUCAUAUAUAAUGACACAUACAAUCUAUCACACUUAGACAUCAUCUUUUACACUCAAAAUAAUACAAAACUUGAGAAAAAAAUCAACAGCUGAAUGUGACGACCCGACCCGUCAUCUCAUGCGUUGCUGCCCCAUUUUUCCAUUUAUGCUUCUUCUUGUUUCAUUAUCAGUAUGUGAUGCACUAUAGUUUAUUUGGAUUGAUUUUGAUGAGAAAGGAGAAACUUAGUCUCUUUAAGGGAAGGCUAGUUUGGAAAAGUCAAUGGGAAGUUGACUUGUGAGUUAGAGGGCUCGGAAUAGAUUUUGGAUGAUUUGGUUUGUUUUGGGAGAUAAUUUAAGAUUUAGGAGCGCAAUAAAAAGUAAAUUUUAAGCCUCGGUGUAGAAGUUAGCCUAUUUUGGCGAAAUCCGGUUGAUAGGUGAGAUUUUGAUCUGAGGGCCGUAAUGGAAUUCCGAGAGUUCCAGUAGCUUCGUUUGGUAAUUUUGGAUAUGUGUGUCAAUUUUUAGGUCAUUCAGACAUUGUUUGGUUGGAUUUUUGAUCGAAAGUGCAUUUCGAGAGUUCUUGAAGAACUUAAGCUUUGAUUUGGUGAAAUUUGAUGAUUCUGAUGUUAGAGAUAGGGUUUUUUUGGUUCCAACAAGUUUGAAUAAGGUAUUAGAUCAUGUUUAUCUUUUGGUUGAGGUCCUGGGGACCUCUGGGUGAUUUCGGAUGGCUAAACGGAAGAUUUUUGGACUUAGGAUGUUGCAGAAAAUUACAGAUCAGUAUUGCAGACAUUUGUUCUAUGAGAUCACAUGAGCAGGGGUGCGAUCCCAAAGAGGGAUUUUGGGGGUAUGAUCACUUGUUCAAUGUGAUAGCGUGUCAGCGGUGCGAUCGCAGAGAGAAAAAUUUUGGAGUUUGGAUUUUGUUCAAUGUGAUUGUGGUGUUGUGUAUGCGAUCGCACAGUGAAAAUUGUCUGGUCGAUGCUAUCGCGUGGUCCCAUAUGCGAACACAUAGGGUUAAAUCCAAGGUAAAUAUUUUUGUGCUAUGCUAUCGCAAUGUCUUGCAUGAGAUCACAUAGAGGAAAUCUAGGAUGGUAGAGUGGGUUUUUUAAAACAUUUCAUCCGCGACUUGAGGGUUAUUUUCCUCCAUUGUUGAGCACCUUGAGAACUUUUUAGGAGCAAGUGAAGAGGGUUUCGUAGGGGAUAGACUGCAUAUUAGUCCUAUGAACUAAAAUCAUGAUUAUGUUGUGAAUUUGGUCUAGAAAUUUAUAGAAAUUAAGCCUAAAAUUGAGGAACUAAGGCUUGAGUUUUUCAUAUUUCAAACUGGGAUUUGAUAGGUCAUUUGAGCUUGUAUUGGGAGUUCUUGGUAUGUAUGGACUCGUGUCUAGAUGAGGAAUCCGGUAAUGUAAGUUCCAUAAUUUUUUAAGAAGCGAGCCAGGGGCUCGGGUUUUGCUAGUUUUGAGAUUUUUGCUAUUUCUCAAUUGUUUUUGAUUGGUUAUUGUUCCCUUAGUAUAUUGUGAUGCAUUCGCUCUCGUUUUGGUUAGAUUCGACGCGCGUGGAUGCCGAUUUGAGGGGAAAAGGUGUCGCGGGCUAGAGAUUUCGUCGGUUCAAGGUGAGUAAUACUUGUAAAUGGUAUCCUGAGGUUUGAAACCCUGAAUUUGCACAUCAUAGUGCUGUAUUGAGGUGGCUUACACGUGGGUAUGAGUGUGGGGUAGAGCACCGUUGGGGACAAUGAUUUGGUUCGUCCUGGUUGUUGAUUUUUACCACAUAUUUGAUUGAAAUUAUUUGUUAUCAUCAUAAUUUGGGCUGAUUGUCAUGUUUGGGGCUUCGUGCCAACUAUGUUAACCCUUUGGGGAUUGAUAUCACUGAUUUUGCAUUACUUGAAUAUUAUUUGAUCUCGGUCCAAGGUUUUAAUACUGUUUUGCAAACUCACAUUGUAAGCUUUGAAAACUUAAAAACAAUAUUUUAUUGACGUUUGAGAUGAGGACUAUCAUGUUAAUAUUGCCCAAAUGGCUUAUGUGCAUUUCUGGACUAAGCAUGGUCCGGGCUGCGCACCGCAGCACUAUCAUAGUGAUUUAUGAAUAUGUGAGUGGCUCGGGCUGCACACCGCAGCAAUGAUAUAUAUUGAUAUUGAGGCCGACAGCCUGUUUUAUGCCAAUACCUGGAUAAUAUUACGCUUGGGCUGUAGAAGACCCUCCGGAAUCUGUACAUACCCCCAGUGAGCGUCGUAAAUGUUAAAUGGAUCGGGCUGGACGCCGCAGCGGGUACUCAAGUGUACCGUCAUAUAAAUUGCAUUGCAUUCAUAUAUUUGUGCACUAUUUGUUGUUUGUGUCAUUUCUUGAGGUAUUUAUUUGUGGUUCUGACUUGUCUGAUAACUUUCAUAGUGGAUAAAUUUGAGAUAGUGGUAACAGUGAACACUGUAUGAGUAAAUGGGUCAGGUAACAGUGGCUGACCAGAGAUAAAAACAUUUCCUGAAGGGAGAGUUGUGAGCUCAAUUGUGCAUACUUGCUUGUGCCCGAGAGGUUGACUUUUGCGCUGACUUGCACUGCUUGUCCUGCAUUUGCUUGCUUAACUAUUGGCAAAAGAUAUUUUUAAAAGUGAUUUUUAAACCGAGGCAGAUAUUUUCUAAAGGAUUUUCCCUGACUUAUUGUUUUUCUCAAAUGGUUGUGUUGUCCCAUAUUGCAUGGUGGAGUGCUCUUACGUGAUCUCUUGCCUUCAGUUUUUAUUUACUCUUAUUACCGUUGAGUUGGAAGUACUCACUUUACUCCCUGCACCUCGCAUGUAGUUGCAGGUAUUGUUCGCUCGGUAGCGGGUUAUUAGCGGAUUGAAGAUCUGCUAUCGUAACUGAGCUAGGUGACCGCUAGCGUCUACGACACCAGAUCUUAUCCCUUAUUUUAUGUUGUUUAUGUUAUUUUCAGACUUUGUUCCCAUUUCCGAAUGUGUAGUUCUUUAGUGAACUCUGCAGUAGCUCAUGACUAGUGACACCCAGAUGUCGGGCUGUGACAGGAUGGUCCCCUGUCGUUAUCGUUGUUUUCUGCACUAUUGUUUAUGCUAAUCAUGUUUGAACAUUAUGAAUUUUAAUGAACUACUAAAAAUGAUGAAUUUGUUUUGUUGGAUGGCCUCAUCUUCACGAAAG